This 428-nucleotide ribosomal RNA is filed under the name uncultured prokaryote. Its description in RNAcentral is "bacterial SSU rRNA". It matches the Rfam family "Bacterial small subunit ribosomal RNA", at positions 355 to 796 of the family's 1533-position model. The record is from RNAcentral.
UGGGGAAUUUUCCGCAAUGGGCGAAAGCCUGACGGAGCCAUACCGCGUGAGGGAAGAAGGCGGAUUCGUUGUAAACCUCUUUUCUCAGGGAAGAAGAAAGUGACGGUACCUGAGGAAUCAGCAUCGGCUAACUCCGUGCCAGCAGCCGCGGUAAUACGGAGGAUGCAAGCGUUAUCCGGAAUUAUUGGGCGUAAAGCGUCCGCAGGUGGUCGUUCAAGUCUGCUGUCAAAGCCCGGGGCUUAACCCCGGAUCUGCAGUGGAAACUGAGGGACUAGAGUACGGUAGGGGUAGAGGGAAUUCCCAGUGUAGCGGUGAAAUGCGUAGAGAUUGGGAAGAACACCAGUGGCGAAAGCGCUCUACUGGACCGUAACUGACACUCACAGGACGAAAGCUAGGGGAGCGAAUGGGAUUAGAUACCCCCGUAGUCC